Molecule: ribosomal RNA, 404 nt
Filed under: uncultured prokaryote
Also listed under: 1 other name
Description: bacterial SSU rRNA
Rfam family: Bacterial small subunit ribosomal RNA
Source: RNAcentral
UGGGGGAUAUUGCGCAAUGGGGGAAACCCUGACGCAGCAACGCCGCGUGAAGGAAGAAGGCCUUCGGGUUGUAAACUUUUGUCUUUGGGGACGAUAAUGACGGUACCCGAGGAGGAAGCCACGGCUAACUACGUGCCAGCAGCCGCGGUAAUACGUAGGUGGCGAGCGUUGUCCGGAUUUACUGGGUGUAAAGGGCGUGUAGGCGGGAUAGCAAGUCAGAUGUGAAAUACCAAGGCUUAACUUUGGGGGUGCAUUUGAAACUGUUAUUCUUGAGUGUCGGAGAGGGAAGCGGAAUUCCUAGUGUAGCGGUGAAAUGCGUAGAGAUUGGGAGGAACACCAGUGGCGAAGGCGGCUUUCUGGACGAUAACUGACGCUGAGGCGCGAAAGCGUGGGUAGCAAACAGG